RNAcentral lists this ribosomal RNA (253 nucleotides) under uncultured bacterium. RNAcentral describes it as "partial 16S ribosomal RNA". It matches the Rfam family "Bacterial small subunit ribosomal RNA", at positions 524 to 776 of the family's 1533-position model. The record is from RNAcentral.
UACGUAGGGUGCAAGCGUUGUCCGGAAUUAUUGGGCGUAAAGAGCUCGUAGGCGGUCUGUCGCGUCGGCUGUGAAAACCCGGGGCUCAACCCCGGGCCUGCAGUCGAUACGGGCAGACUAGAGUGCGGUAGGGGAGACUGGAAUUCCUGGUGUAGCGGUGAAAUGCGUAGAUAUCAGGAGGAACACCGGUGGUGUAGACGGCUCUCUGGGCCGAAACUGACGCUGAGGAGCGAAAGCGUGGGGAGCAAACAGG